GAGGUAUGGUUAAGUGGUGAGGUUGCAGCAGCGACUAAGCACAUAUUUGGUGGCUAACUUACGAGUACAGGAAAUAAGAGGGGGGAUGAUCUACGAUAGCGGACGUGACUACUGAUGAUCAAAUGAAUGAUCCUGAACACCUACAUACGUCAGACAUAACCCCACCGUGUCCUCGAUCGGAGAAGGAACUCACGAAAGAGACAGUCACGGUUACGCACACGGUUGGCAAGUUUUAAUUAAUUAGCUUCAAGUUGUCUAGAACCAGUGUUAAACAAAGCUUCCACGUUGCCACAUAACCGCGGGCACGGCUUUCCGAAAGAUUUAACCCUGCAGGGGUGCUCCAACUAGUCCAUCACAAAUUACCACAAGCCGCAUAGAAAUCCUCAAUCA
This 390-nucleotide long non-coding RNA is filed under the name Hordeum vulgare. Its description in RNAcentral is "long non-coding RNA (HVUL_LNC005895)". The record is from RNAcentral. Lineage: Eukaryota; Viridiplantae; Streptophyta; Magnoliopsida; Poales; Poaceae.